RNAcentral lists this ribosomal RNA (550 nucleotides) under uncultured bacterium. RNAcentral describes it as "bacterial SSU rRNA". It matches the Rfam family "Bacterial small subunit ribosomal RNA", at positions 292 to 842 of the family's 1533-position model. The record is from RNAcentral.
CUGAGAGGAAGGUCCCCCACAUUAGAACUGAGACACGGUCCAAACUCCUACGGGAGGCAGCAGUGAGGAAUAUUGGUCAAUGGGCGCUAGCCUGAACCAGCCAAGUAGCGUGAAGGAUGACUGCCCUAUGGGUUGUAAACUUCUUUUAUAUGGGAAUAAAGUGCAGUAUGUAUACUGCUUUGCAUGUACCUUAUGAAUAAGGAUCGGCUAACUCCGUGCCAGCAGCCGCGGUAAUACGGAGGAUCCGAGCGUUAUCCGGAUUUAUUGGGUUUAAAGGGAGCGUAGGCGGGUUGUUAAGUCAGUUGUGAAAGUUUGCGGCUCAACCGUAAAAUUGCAGUUGAUACUGGCAUCCUUGAGUACAGUAGAGGUAGGCGGAAUUCGUGGUGUAGCGGUGAAAUGCUUAGAUAUCACGAAGAACUCCGAUUGCGAAGGCAGCCUGCUGGACUGUAACUGACGCUGAUGCUCGAAAGUGUGGGUAUCAAACAGGAUUAGAUACCCUGGUAGUCCACACAGUAAACGAUGAAUACUCGCUGUUUGCGAUAUACAGUAA